This 192-nucleotide ribosomal RNA is filed under the name uncultured bacterium. Its description in RNAcentral is "partial 16S ribosomal RNA". It matches the Rfam family "Bacterial small subunit ribosomal RNA", at positions 1308 to 1500 of the family's 1533-position model. The record is from RNAcentral.
CAACUCGCCUACAUGAAGUCGGAAUCGCUAGUAAUCGCGGAUCAGCAUGCCGCGGUGAAUACGUUCCCGGGCCUUGUACACACCGCCCGUCACACCAUGAGAGUUUGUAACACCCAAAGCCGGUGGGUAACCUUUUGGAGCCAGCCGUCUAAGGUGGGACAGAUGAUUGGGGUGAAGUCGUAACAAGGUAGC